This 468-nucleotide ribosomal RNA is filed under the name uncultured bacterium. Its description in RNAcentral is "partial 16S ribosomal RNA". It matches the Rfam family "Bacterial small subunit ribosomal RNA", at positions 28 to 507 of the family's 1533-position model. The record is from RNAcentral.
GACGAACGCUGGCGGCGUGCUUAACACAUGCAAGUCGAACGGAAAGGCCCUGCUUUUGUGGGGUGCUCGAGUGGCGAACGGGUGAGUAACACGUGAGUAACCUGCCCUUGACUUUGGGAUAACUUCAGGAAACUGGGGCUAAUACCGGAUAGGAGCUCCUGCUGCAUGGUGGGGGUUGGAAAGUUUCGGCGGUUGGGGAUGGACUCGCGGCUUAUCAGCUUGUUGGUGGGGUAGUGGCUUACCAAGGCUUUGACGGGUAGCCGGCCUGAGAGGGUGACCGGCCACAUUGGGACUGAGAUACGGCCCAGACGCCUACGGGAGGCAGCAGUGGGGAAUAUUGCACAAUGGGCGGAAGCCGGAUGCAGCAACGCCGCGUGCUGGAUGACGGCCUUCGGGUUGUAAACCGCUUUCGCCUGUGACGAAGCGUGAGUGACGGUAAUGGGUAAAGAAGCACCGGCUAACUACGUG